UAAAGCCAGUGAUGAAACAAGUUAUCCCUGUCUGAAAUUAAGUGAUGAUUUAAGGUAACCUGAGGCUCUC
Gasterosteus aculeatus aculeatus (three-spined stickleback) is the source of this 70-nucleotide small nucleolar RNA. The record is from Ensembl. NCBI's taxonomy places the organism in Eukaryota, Metazoa, Chordata, Actinopteri, Perciformes, Gasterosteidae.